This 486-nucleotide ribosomal RNA is filed under the name uncultured bacterium. RNAcentral describes it as "bacterial SSU rRNA". It matches the Rfam family "Bacterial small subunit ribosomal RNA", at positions 30 to 507 of the family's 1533-position model. The record is from RNAcentral.
UUGAACGCUGGCGGCGUGCUUUACACAUGCAAGUCGAGCGGCAGCAUGACCUUCGGGUCGAUGGCGAGCGGCGAACGGGUGAGUAAUACAUCGGAACGUACCUUUUAGUGGGGGAUAACGCAUCGAAAGAUGUGCUAAUACCGCAUAAUCUCUGAGGAGGAAAGGCGGGAUCACGCAAGUGACCUGUCGCUGAAAGAGCGGCCGAUGGUCGAUUAGCUAGUUGGCGGGGUAAAAGCCCACCAAGCCAACGAUCUGUAGCUGGUCUGAGAGGACGACCAGCCACACUGGAACUGAGACACGGUCCAGACUCCUACGGGAGGCAGCAGUGGGGAAUUUUGGACAAUGGACGCAAGUCUGAUCCAGCCAUUCCGCGUGCAGGAUGAAGGCCCUCGGGUUGUAAACUGCUUUUGUACGGAACGAAAAGGUUUCCAUUAAUACUGGGAGCUCAUGACGGUACCGUAAGAAUAAGCACCGGCUAACUACGUG